AGAGAGAGACAUGCGCGCAUAUCAAUAAGCGGAGGAAAAGAAACUAACAAGGAUUCCCUUAGUAACGGCGAGUGAAGCGGGAAGAGCUCAAAUUUGAAAUCUUCAAGGUUUUACCUUGACGAAUUGUAGUUUAAAGAAGUGUUUUCUGCUGAAGUUUUGGUAAAAGUUCUUUGGAAUAGGACAUCAUAGAGGGUGAGAAUCCCGUAUUUGACCAUUAUUUUCAGCUUUGUGAUACACUUUCAAAGAGUCGGAUUGUUUGGGAAUGCAGUCCAAAAUGGGUGGUAAAUCUCAUCUAAAGCUAAAUAUUGGCGAGAGACCGAUAGCGAACAAGUACCGUGAGGGAAAGAUGAAAAGAACUUUGAAAAGAGAGUUAAACAGUACGUGAAAUUGUCAAAAGGGAAGCGUUUGACACCAGUGUUGUUUUCUCGAAAAUCAAUUAAAAAUGGCUCGAUUUUGUAUUGUUGAGACCUUAAAAGCUCACUGUACAUUUUUCGUGUCUUUUUUAAUGCACUUUUCGUUUAACAAGUCAACAUCAGUUUCUUUUGUUGUAAAAGGGUCAUUGGAAGGUGGCUUUCUUUUCGGAGAAAGUGUUUAUAGCCUUUGGCCUCUGCAAUCGGAAGAGACUGAGGUCUGCAGCGUAGACUCUUCGGGGUUAGAUACAUUUGUGCUAAGUUAUAGCUUUUUAUAGACAACUUGUUGACUAUAAUUAGUCUUGUAGCUUACUCGCUUAUGCUAUUUUACCUACGCUUAGGAUGUUGAAGUCAUCGUAUCGCGC
RNAcentral lists this ribosomal RNA (775 nucleotides) under uncultured Neocallimastigales. Its description in RNAcentral is "partial large subunit ribosomal RNA". It matches the Rfam family "Eukaryotic large subunit ribosomal RNA", at positions 23 to 645 of the family's 3401-position model. The record is from RNAcentral. Lineage: Eukaryota; Fungi; Neocallimastigomycota; Neocallimastigomycetes; Neocallimastigales.